Molecule: ribosomal RNA, 2905 nt
Filed under: Enterobacter mori
Lineage: Bacteria; Pseudomonadati; Pseudomonadota; Gammaproteobacteria; Enterobacterales; Enterobacteriaceae
Description: 23S ribosomal RNA
Rfam family: Bacterial large subunit ribosomal RNA
Source: RNAcentral
GGUUAAGCGACUAAGCGUACACGGUGGAUGCCCUGGCAGUCAGAGGCGAUGAAGGACGUGCUAAUCUGCGAAAAGCGCCGGCGAGGUGAUAUGAACCUUUGACCCGGCGAUGUCCGAAUGGGGAAACCCAGUGUGAUUCGUCACACUAUCGUUAACUGAAUACAUAGGUUAACGAGGCGAACCGGGGGAACUGAAACAUCUAAGUACCCCGAGGAAAAGAAAUCAACCGAGAUUCCCCCAGUAGCGGCGAGCGAACGGGGAGCAGCCCAGAGUCUGAAUCAGCUUGUGUGUUAGUGGAACGGUCUGGAAAGUCCGGCGAUACAGGGUGACAGCCCCGUACACGAAAAUGCACAGGUUGUGAACUCGAAGAGUAGGGCGGGACACGUGGUAUCCUGUCUGAAUAUGGGGGGACCAUCCUCCAAGGCUAAAUACUCCUGACUGACCGAUAGUGAACCAGUACCGUGAGGGAAAGGCGAAAAGAACCCCGGCGAGGGGAGUGAAAAAGAACCUGAAACCGUGUACGUACAAGCAGUGGGAGCACCUUCGUGGUGUGACUGCGUACCUUUUGUAUAAUGGGUCAGCGACUUAUAUUCUGUAGCAAGGUUAACCGUAUAGGGGAGCCGAAGGGAAACCGAGUCUUAACUGGGCGUUAAGUUGCAGGGUAUAGACCCGAAACCCGGUGAUCUAGCCAUGGGCAGGUUGAAGGUUGGGUAACACUAACUGGAGGACCGAACCGACUAAUGUUGAAAAAUUAGCGGAUGACUUGUGGCUGGGGGUGAAAGGCCAAUCAAACCGGGAGAUAGCUGGUUCUCCCCGAAAGCUAUUUAGGUAGCGCCUCGUGAACUCAUCUUCGGGGGUAGAGCACUGUUUCGGCUAGGGGGCCAUCCCGGCUUACCAACCCGAUGCAAACUACGAAUACCGAAGAAUGUUAUCACGGGAGACACACGGCGGGUGCUAACGUCCGUCGUGAAGAGGGAAACAACCCAGACCGCCAGCUAAGGUCCCAAAGUCAUGGUUAAGUGGGAAACGAUGUGGGAAGGCACAGACAGCCAGGAUGUUGGCUUAGAAGCAGCCAUCAUUUAAAGAAAGCGUAAUAGCUCACUGGUCGAGUCGGCCUGCGCGGAAGAUGUAACGGGGCUAAACCAUGCACCGAAGCUGCGGCAGCGACACUAUGUGUUGUUGGGUAGGGGAGCGUUCUGUAAGCCGUUGAAGGUGUGCUGUGAGGCAUGCUGGAGGUAUCAGAAGUGCGAAUGCUGACAUAAGUAACGAUAAAGCGGGUGAAAAGCCCGCUCGCCGGAAGACCAAGGGUUCCUGUCCAACGUUAAUCGGGGCAGGGUGAGUCGACCCCUAAGGCGAGGCCGAAAGGCGUAGUCGAUGGGAAACAGGUUAAUAUUCCUGUACUUGGUGUUACUGCGAAGGGGGGACGGAGAAGGCUAUGUUAGCCGGGCGACGGUUGUCCCGGUUUAAGCAUGUAGGCGGAACGAUUAGGUAAAUCCGGUCGUUUUUUAACGCUGAGGUGUGAUGACGAGGCACUACGGUGCUGAAGUAACAAAUGCCCUGCUUCCAGGAAAAGCCUCUAAGCAUCAGGUAACACAAAAUCGUACCCCAAACCGACACAGGUGGUCAGGUAGAGAAUACCAAGGCGCUUGAGAGAACUCGGGUGAAGGAACUAGGCAAAAUGGUGCCGUAACUUCGGGAGAAGGCACGCUGAUAUGUAGGUGAAGCCCCUGCGGGUGGAGCUGAAAUCAGUCGAAGAUACCAGCUGGCUGCAACUGUUUAUUAAAAACACAGCACUGUGCAAACACGAAAGUGGACGUAUACGGUGUGACGCCUGCCCGGUGCCGGAAGGUUAAUUGAUGGGGUUAGCGGCAACGCGAAGCUCUUGAUCGAAGCCCCGGUAAACGGCGGCCGUAACUAUAACGGUCCUAAGGUAGCGAAAUUCCUUGUCGGGUAAGUUCCGACCUGCACGAAUGGCGUAAUGAUGGCCAGGCUGUCUCCACCCGAGACUCAGUGAAAUUGAACUCGCUGUGAAGAUGCAGUGUACCCGCGGCAAGACGGAAAGACCCCGUGAACCUUUACUAUAGCUUGACACUGAACACUGGUCCUUGAUGUGUAGGAUAGGUGGGAGGCUUUGAAGCGUGGACGCCAGUCUGCGUGGAGCCGACCUUGAAAUACCACCCUUUAAUGGCUGGUGUUCUAACGUAGACCCGUGAUCCGGGUUGCGGACAGUGUCUGGUGGGUAGUUUGACUGGGGCGGUCUCCUCCCAAAGAGUAACGGAGGAGCACGAAGGUUAGCUAAUCCUGGUCGGACAUCAGGAGGUUAGUGCAAUGGCAUAAGCUAGCUUGACUGCGAGAGUGACGGCUCGAGCAGGUGCGAAAGCAGGUCAUAGUGAUCCGGUGGUUCUGAAUGGAAGGGCCAUCGCUCAACGGAUAAAAGGUACUCCGGGGAUAACAGGCUGAUACCGCCCAAGAGUUCAUAUCGACGGCGGUGUUUGGCACCUCGAUGUCGGCUCAUCACAUCCUGGGGCUGAAGUAGGUCCCAAGGGUAUGGCUGUUCGCCAUUUAAAGUGGUACGCGAGCUGGGUUUAGAACGUCGUGAGACAGUUCGGUCCCUAUCUGCCGUGGGCGCUGGAGAAUUGAGGGGGGCUGCUCCUAGUACGAGAGGACCGGAGUGGACGCAUCACUGGUGUUCGGGUUGUCAUGCCAAUGGCAUUGCCCGGUAGCUAAAUGCGGAAGAGAUAAGUGCUGAAAGCAUCUAAGCACGAAACUUGCCCCGAGAUGAGUUCUCCCUGACUCCUUGAGAGUCCUGAAGGAACGUUGAAGACGACGACGUUGAUAGGUCGGGUGUGUAAGCGUAGCGAUACGUUGAGCUAACCGAUACUAAUGAACCGUGAGGCUUAACCUU